This 506-nucleotide long non-coding RNA is filed under the name Nicotiana benthamiana. RNAcentral describes it as "long non-coding RNA (NBEN_LNC012393)". Lineage: Eukaryota; Viridiplantae; Streptophyta; Magnoliopsida; Solanales; Solanaceae. The record is from RNAcentral.
GAACUCACUCGCAAAGGAAACUACUGGAAUAACUUGUGAUGUACAAGAAAAGCUAUAAAUCUGCAUCAGCAAAUCAGGAUUAGCUUUGUAAAACUAGGAAAUCAAAUAAGGAUCAAAUCACCAGUAUUAGUAAAUAACGGAGUAGGAAUAAUCAAAGUACGAGAAGAUCAAUGAUUAGCGAAAUCAUUGAAGAAUAAAAGAUGCCAGAAGAUCUGGGUAGUGAGCGUUUUUGGAAGAUCCAACAAUCAAGGAGAAAUAUCUUUAAAUAAAUCGUCUGCCGAAGGAAAAGAAAUCAAGAGAAUAAAUGGCUCAUUCCUUAUUCUUGGAAAGAAUCAUUCUUUCCAAGGAUCAAAAUCCUUGGGUUGACAAGCUUCCACAGUUCAUCAUAGUAUAUAUUCUCCUUGUAAAAUCCUUCUUAGACAUACUUUGAUCAAACCAAAUCACUCUCUUUAUUCUACUGCAAACAAGCAUAGUAGCUUACAUUAAUUUGUUGUGUAACAAGUCAG